Molecule: ribosomal RNA, 301 nt
Filed under: uncultured bacterium
Lineage: Bacteria
Description: partial 16S ribosomal RNA
Rfam family: Bacterial small subunit ribosomal RNA
Source: RNAcentral
CAGUCGCCGCGGGAAUACGUAGGUGGCAAGCGUUGUCCGGAAUUAUUGGGCGUAAAGCGCGCGCAGGUGGUUUAAUAAGUCUGAUGUGAAAGCCCACGGCUCAACCGUGGAGGGUCAUUGGAAACUGUUAAACUUGAGUGCAGGAGAGAAAAGUGGAAUUCCUAGUGUAGCGGUGAAAUGCGUAGAGAUUAGGAGGAACACCAGUGGCGAAGGCGGCUUUUUGGCCUGUAACUGACACUGAGGCGCGAAAGCGUGGGGAGCAAACAGGAUUAGAUACCCGCGUAGUCCCUGUCUCUUAUAC